GACGAACGCUGGCGGCGCGCCUAACACAUGCAAGUCGAGCGAGAACCAGGGCUUCGGCCCUGGGGGACAGCGGCGAACGGGUGAGUAACACGUGGGUAACCUGCCCUCGGCACCGGGAUAGCCCGGGGAAACCCGGAUUAAUACCGGACAGCCUCAUGAGCUCUCGGGGCUCGUGAGAAAAGGUGGCUUCGGCUUCCGGCUGAGGAUGGGCCCGCGGCCGAUUAGCUUGUUGGUGAGGUAACGGCUCACCAAGGCGAUGAUCGGUAGCUGGUCUGAGAGGACGAUCAGCCACACUGGGACUGAGACACGGCCCAGACUCCUACGGGAGGCAGCAGGUGGGGAAUCUUGCGCAAUGGGCGAAAGCCUGACGCAGCGACGCCGCGUGGCGGGAAGAAGGCC
RNAcentral lists this ribosomal RNA (399 nucleotides) under uncultured bacterium. RNAcentral's name for it is "bacterial SSU rRNA". It matches the Rfam family "Bacterial small subunit ribosomal RNA", at positions 28 to 416 of the family's 1533-position model. The record is from RNAcentral.